RNAcentral lists this transfer RNA (75 nucleotides) under Ixodes scapularis (black-legged tick). Its description in RNAcentral is "tRNA-Ser". The stretch from base 9 to 68 matches the Rfam family "tRNA", at positions 7 to 64 of the family's 71-position model. Rfam says of the family: Transfer RNA (tRNA) molecules are approximately 80 nucleotides in length. Their secondary structure includes four short double-helical elements and three loops (D, anti-codon, and T loops). Lineage: Eukaryota; Metazoa; Arthropoda; Arachnida; Ixodida; Ixodidae. The record is from RNAcentral.
GCUUCUGGUUAGCUCAGUUGGUAGAGCGCUCCACUACUCUUGGAGAGGUCCUGGGUUCGAAUCCCGGAACGGGCG